UUUUUAUAAAUAAAUUGUAAAAUUAAGUACACAUGUUUAUAUUGUAAAAAUAAUUUAUUUUAUUUUAUACAUAGAAAAAUGCGACACGCAACCGAUCAAUAAGGUUACCAUUGCGGUUUUUGUUUUCUUUGUAUAACCAAAACUUCCAUUAUUACAGAAAAUUUGCAGCAUUGCGAAAAAUUGCAUCAUCAAAAGGCGUUAAUAAAGAAGAGAACGGAAGAAAACUGUCAUUGCUCCUCCUGAGCUGCAAAUCUAGAGGGAUCAACUGUGUCGCUGUCGCUACUUUCAUUUUCUUGCCUCCUCUAGGUUGUAUUGCCUUUCUAUUUGCAUCGCAAGAUUUGGAAUGUGCGAAAAAUUGUCCACAUCAAUAAGCUCCACAGUCUCGCAGAGUUUGGGUGCUAUACAGGUAAGC
Molecule: non-coding RNA, 412 nt
Organism: Bactrocera oleae (olive fruit fly)
Lineage: Eukaryota; Metazoa; Arthropoda; Insecta; Diptera; Tephritidae
Source: RefSeq, a predicted model, not a curated record